UACGAAGGAUGCAAGCGUUAUCCGGAUUUAUUGGGUUUAAAGGGAGCGUAGGCGGUCUUGUAAGUCAGUGGUGAAAUCCUAUCGCUUAACGAUAGACGUGCCAUUGAUACUGUAGGACUUGAGUACAGAUGCCGUUGGCGGAAUGUGUCAUGUAGCGGUGAAAUGCAUAGAUAUGACACAGAACACCUAUUGCGAAGGCAGCUUACUACGCAGAUAUUGACGCUCAUGCACGAAAGCGUGGGGAUCAAACAGG
Molecule: ribosomal RNA, 253 nt
Filed under: uncultured bacterium
Lineage: Bacteria
Description: partial 16S ribosomal RNA
Rfam family: Bacterial small subunit ribosomal RNA
Source: RNAcentral